Molecule: ribosomal RNA, 582 nt
Filed under: Triticum aestivum (bread wheat)
Lineage: Eukaryota; Viridiplantae; Streptophyta; Magnoliopsida; Poales; Poaceae
Description: partial small subunit ribosomal RNA
Source: RNAcentral
AUGGACAGCGAAGCACCCGAGAAAGUGCCAGCACUAGCUUCUAGCAAGGAGGGCAACAAAAAGCAAGUGACUAGCAACAGAAAAGAGGAGCAAUCAGAAACCAAGACUGUCAUUCCUCCUAGAGGAAAAAGACAAAAGAGAAAGGACAAAACUCAACUCAUCAGCGACGGUGCUAGCUUGAAGCGGCAGCAGCCAAGUCCUCUAAUGAUACUCCCAGCAGCAGUUCGACGCGCCGACAAUGAUGUAAAUAAAGCCAGGAAGAAAAACAAAAGACAACGGUUGGAAGAAGAUGAGGAUGAUGCCAGCAAAGAGUCAAAGCGUGAUGUUGCCGACGACGAUGAUGGCACAAAACACGAUGAUGAUGUCAUUUGUACAGAGGGCGAUGGCGCCACAGGGGACAACAGUGGCGCCGCAGAGGACAGCAACGAUGAUAUAAAAACAAGGCAGAAGCGCACAAAGAGAAGAAAGAUAAGUGGAAAAGAAUUGCCAGCACCAACGGAUGAUGAACAGGAGGCAACAACAAAUAAGGACAAAUGCGAGAUCAAGGUAGGAGCAGCAUUUGAUAAUGUCAAUAAAGCAUAG